This 740-nucleotide ribosomal RNA is filed under the name uncultured cyanobacterium. RNAcentral's name for it is "bacterial SSU rRNA". It matches the Rfam family "Bacterial small subunit ribosomal RNA", at positions 11 to 795 of the family's 1533-position model. The record is from RNAcentral. Lineage: Bacteria; Bacillati; Cyanobacteriota.
GUUUGAUCCUGGCUCAGGAUGAACGCUAGCGGUAUGCCUGACACAUGCAAGUCGUACGGAAGUUUACUUCCGUGGCAAACGGGUGAGUGAUGCAUGAGAAUCUACCUCUAAGAGGAGGAUAACACUUGGAAACAAGUACUAAUACUCCAUAUGCCUUCGGGUGAAAGGUUUAGACCGCUUAGAGAGGAGCUCAUGUCUGAUUAGCUAGUUGGUAAGGUAAAGGCUUACCAAGGCGACGAUCAGUAGCUGGUCUGAGAGGACGAUCAGCCACACUGGAACUGAGACACGGUCCAGACUCCUACGGGAGGCAGCAGUGGGGAAUUUUCUGUAAUGGGCGGAAGCCUGACAGAGCAAUACCGCGUGAGGGAAUGAAAGCCUAUGGGUUGUAAACCUCUUUUCUCAAAGAAGAAGAUCUGACGGUAUUUGAGGAAUAAGCAUCGGCUAACUCCGUGCCAGCAGCCGCGGUAAUACGGGGGAUGCAAGCGUUAUCCGGAAUCACUGGGCGUAAAGCGUCUGCAGGUGGGUUAUUAAGUCCUUUGUUAAAUCCUAAGGCCCAACCUAAGUUCUGCAAAGGAAACUAAUAAUCUUGAGUAUGGUAGGGGUAAAGGGAAUUUUCAGUGGAGCGGUGAAAUGCGUAGAUAUUGAAAAGAACACCGAAGGCGAAAGCACUUUACUGGGCCAUUACUGACACUCAGAGACGAAAGCUAGGGGAGCAAAUGGGAUUAGAUACCCCAGUAGUC